UUCUAAGGGCGGUGAAGUCAGACCGGAAGGACUGGUGGAGCGCUUAGAAGUGAGAAUGCCGGUAUGAGUAGCGAAAGAAGGGUGAGAAUCCCUUCCACCGAAUAUCUAAGGUUUCCUGAGGAAGGCUCGUCCGCUCAGGGUUAGUCGGGACCUAAGCCGAGGCCGAUAGGCGUAGGCGAUGGACAACAGGUAGAGAUUCCUGUACCAGUGCUAAUUGUUUAACCGAUGGGGUGACACAGAAGGAUAGGGAAUCGCACGAAUGGAAAUGUGCGUCCAAGCAGUGAGUGUGAGAAGUAGGCAAAUCCGCUUCUCGCGAAGCAUGAGCUGUGAUGGGGAAGGAAAUUAAGUACGGAAGUUCCUGAUUUCACGCUGUCAAGAAAAGCCUCUAGGAAGAGUAGUACUGCCCGUACCGCAAACCGACACAGGUAGAUGAGGAGAGAAUCCUAAGGUGAGCGAGAGAACUCUCGUUAAGGAACUCGGCAAAAUGACCCCGUAACUUCGGGAGAAGGGGUGCUCUAUUAGGGUGCAAGCCCGAGAGAGCCGCAGUGAAUAGGCCCAGGCGACUGUUUAGCAAAAACACAGGUCUCUGCAAAACCGUAAGGUGACGUAUAGGGGCUGACGCCUGCCCGGUGCUGGAAGGUUAAGAGGAGUGCUUAGCUUCGGCGAAGGUACGAAUUGAAGCCCCAGUAAACGGCGGCCGUAACUAUAACGGUCCUAAGGUAGCGAAAUUCCUUGUCGGGUAAGUUCCGACCCGCACGAAAGGCGCAACGAUCUGGGCACUGUCUCAACGAGAGACUCGGUGAAAUUAUAGUACCUGUGAAGAUGCAGGUUACCCGCGACAGGACGGAAAGACCCCGUGGAGCUUUACUGCAACCUGAUAUGGAAUGUUUGUACCGCUUGUACAGGAUAGGUAGGAGCCGAAGAGACGUGUGCGCUAGCAUACGAGGAGGCAAUGGUGGGAUACUACCCUGGCUGUAUGACCAUUCUAACCCGCCACGCUUAGCGCGUGGGGAGACAGUGUCAGGUGGGCAGUUUGACUGGGGCGGUCGCCUCCUAAAGAGUAACGGAGGCGCCCAAAGGUUCCCUCAGAAUGGAUGGAAAUCAUUCGCAGAGUGUAAAGGCACAAGGGAGCUUGACUGCGAGACUGACAAGUCGAGCAGGGACGAAAGUCGGGCUUAGUGAUCCGGUGGUUCCGCAUGGAAGGGCCAUCGCUCAACGGAUAAAAGCUACCCCGGGGAUAACAGGCUUAUCUCCCCCAAGAGUCCACAUCGACGGGGAGGUUUGGCACCUCGAUGUCGGCUC
RNAcentral lists this ribosomal RNA (1302 nucleotides) under Listeria monocytogenes. Its description in RNAcentral is "partial 23S ribosomal RNA". It matches the Rfam family "Bacterial large subunit ribosomal RNA", at positions 1239 to 2538 of the family's 2925-position model. Lineage: Bacteria; Bacillati; Bacillota; Bacilli; Caryophanales; Listeriaceae. The record is from RNAcentral.